Molecule: transfer RNA, 84 nt
Filed under: Candidatus Woesearchaeota archaeon
Lineage: Archaea; Nanobdellati; Candidatus Woesearchaeota
Description: tRNA-Leu
Rfam family: tRNA
About the family: Transfer RNA (tRNA) molecules are approximately 80 nucleotides in length. Their secondary structure includes four short double-helical elements and three loops (D, anti-codon, and T loops).
Source: RNAcentral
GCGAGGGUGGCGGAGUGGUCAAUCGCGCAAGCCUAAGGAGCUUGUCCCUUAGUGGGUUCACGGGUUCGAAUCCUGUCCCUCGCA